UACGAGGGGGGCAAGCGUUGUUCGGAUUUAUUGGGCGUAAAGGGUGCGUAGGCGGUUUGGCAAGUCUUGUGUGAAAGCCCAGAGCUCAACUCUGGAACUGCCUUUGAAACUGGUGAUCUUGAGUACGGGAGAGGUGAGUGGAAUUCCCAGUGUAGAGGUGAAAUUCGUAGAUAUUGGGAAGAACACCGGUGGCGAAGGCGGCUCACUGGCCCGUAACUGACGCUCAGGCGCGAUAGCGUGGGGAUCAAACAGG
RNAcentral lists this ribosomal RNA (253 nucleotides) under uncultured bacterium. RNAcentral describes it as "partial 16S ribosomal RNA". It matches the Rfam family "Bacterial small subunit ribosomal RNA", at positions 524 to 776 of the family's 1533-position model. The record is from RNAcentral.